UUGCUAGACGUUUUCCGUUUACUGCACCAUUCCCUGAAAACUCUAGAGACUGCAGUGAGUGAAAAUCCCAGGCGGUCAGCGGUUUCAGAGACAGGGCGACAGUGACGAAUUUGCCAACCUUGGUGUUCUCUGGCAAAUGCCAAACAUCCUGCACGGUGUUGGGCUGUAAGCACAGCCCCCACCUGUUUACGUCGGGCCCUCAUACCACCCUCAUGGAGUCUGUUUCUGAUUGUUUGAGCAGACACAUGCACAUUUGUGGUCUGCUGGAGGUCAUUUUGCAAGGCUCUAGCAGUGCUCCUCCUAUUCCUCCUUGCACAAAGGCUGAGGUAGCGGUCCUGCUGCUGGGUUGUGGCCCUCCUCCAUGUCUCCUGAUGUACUGGCCUGUCUCCUGGUAGCGCCUCCAUGCUCUGGACACUACGCUGACAGACAGCAAACCUUCUUGCCACAGCUCGCAUUGAUGUGCCAUCCUGGAUGAGCUGCACUACCUGAGCCACUUGUGUGGGUUGUAGACUCCGUCUCAUGCUACCACUAGAGCGAAAGCACGGCCAACAUUCAAAAUUGACCAAAAUAUCAACCAUGAAGCAUAGGCACUGAGAAGUGGUCUGUGGUCACCACCUGCAGAACCACUCCUUUAUUGGGGGUGUCUUGCUAAUUGCCUAUAAUUUCCACCUGUUGUCUAUCCCAUUUGCACAACCACAUGUGAAAUUGAUUGUCACUCGGUGUUGCUUCCUAAGUGGACAGUUUGAUUUCACAGAAGUGUGAUUGACUUGGAGUUACAUUGUGGUGUUUAAGUGUUCCCUUUAUUUUACGUGUUCCCUUUAUUUUACGUUGAAGUGGACCACUGGUUUGCGUCCUCUGUUGUCCGAUUGUCAACCUUACUCGGUAAAAUAGAUGUAUAACUCAUGCAUGAGGAGAGAAAUAAUGACACUGACACGUAUAGUUCAGUUGCAAAGUUUCUUCUGUUUACUGGUAAAUCGGGCGUGGCUUUUAUAGCCAAAAUCACGUCAUAAAGUAAUACGUAUACAUUUAUAUAACAUGUUUUGCAAGCAUUUCAUUGGGUAAGCUUUGUUGCUAUGCUUCUUGUUUUUCUUCCCUCGGGGAUGUACACAUUCUUUAUCAUGAGGGUGUUGUCUCCGAGAGGUAUUGCCAUUUUGUUAUGCUCAGCGAGUUUUCGUAGCUGUCAGCCAUCUUAAAGCAUAGAGAUAAAAUGAUUAGGUUUUGACAUGACAUGUAGACAAGUAUAAUUUUUAUAGCAUCCAAUCUUUGGUGUCAAUAACAAGAGAUAGAAAAGGGAAUUUUCAGACCCUACGCACCUCUCCAUCACAGUCCCCCCUUGAAAUGACCUUUUUUAUCUCUUCCCUGUCCUAAAACACCUGGCCCUUCCUGCUUGGAACUCUUUUACAUACCGUAGGGGUUGGGCCCGUGGCUUAUCCAUGGGUCGCCCCGAAUAUGUCACAGUUAGGGCAGUCAAGUGUACCUUUCCCUUGUCAUAACAAACUAUUGAUGGUCAUCUCUUGAGGUACCAGCGACUGGAGUGGUGUGUAUGGUUCUGUAUCUUGGUAGGGUUCGGUGAGUUGGUUUAAGAAUAUGGGUGACGUUCCCUGAGUGGCUUUAAGGAUAUACUUCCUAAUGCAAGGGAUGACGCAGCAAGCCAGAAGCAUUAUGAUCAUGAGGAUUACACAUAUAAUGACACCAAGUUGUGCUGCAAUCUUUUUCCAGCCGUUUAACCAGCUGAACCACUGGUCCCACCCAUGGUCAACACCUGAGUUCCUUUUUAGUUCUUCCGAAAGGUCCUUCAAUUUCUCAAUGGCCAAGGUCACUUUACCGUUUGGGCCCGUGUUAUCGGGUAUGAAGGUACAGCAAGUGCUGGUGUCAGGGAGCAUUUUGCACACCCCUCCCUUUUCUGCUAACAUGUCUAGUGCCAUCCUAUUCUGGAAGGUCAUCUGGGAAGUGGCUUCUAGUUGUUCUGCCACACAAUGGAGGGCAUCUCUAGUGUAAUUUAUGAAUCUCUGUUGGUUGUAAUAUAUGUAGUUAAUCCAGUCAACAUUCUUGUUGAUUGUAAUUAUGAGGAACAAUGACUCGAAGCCCGCUGCUACUUGGUCUCUGGCUUUGAACUCAUUAGGGACCGCCCUUGGCACUCCAAUUGAGUCGAUAUAAACAUGGGGGUCAAAGCUUCCCUUGGCUGCCUCUCUCUUAGUACGGGUCUGUUGGGCGUGUGUGGGGGGGCUGUGGCUGUUGGUCAGUCCCCAUUAUGUACAAAAAGCAAGUAAAAAGUAGGCACUCGUAAUAAAAUCGUCUAAAAUAUAACAAAACAACCUAUUGAUAUUAUAAAGCUGCACCAAAAACAAGUGUAAAACUCCUCCAAACACUUUAGUGAAUAUACUUAAAAAUAAUAAGGUGCGCUGUGUCUUUAAGACCCAAUAAUAAUAUAAAGUGCAACAAGUGCAAACUAUCUAAUAAAAUGCAAAGUAAUACAAAGUGCACUUAAAAUGUGGAAUAUAAAAAUAUUAUACAUACAUAUGUCCUCUCAAAUGAAGAUAUACAUAGAAAGAAGAGAGACACAAAAAAGACCAAUAGUGUGAAACCGUAUAAAAAAUAAAAUAUGGAUAAUAAAUGCCAAAUAUUGCACUCACAAAAGUAGAGCAGAAUAAGCCUGCUCUAACUUAAACAGCUUCUUCAAAUACAGGACUGCACAGACGAAAAAUAUUCCAAAAUAUUUAUUGCCCAGCACAGCACUAAUAUGUCACCUUCCUCCACAUUCAGUAUUCAGUUACAGAGCAUUCGGUAGUAUGCAGCAUAAGGGUGUCGACUAGUCCCUUUGUAGGUUCGCCGCGGUUAUUACCGUCUGUUUCCUCAAACUUCCAGGGGGAGGGACUUCCUCAAGUGCGUGACGUAAGGUGCGUAACUUGCGUGAUGACGCGUUUCGCCGUAUUCACGGCUUCAUCAGAUCUGCCCAUCCAUGUCCUUUACGUUCUUAUAUACCCAUCUCAAUGGGUGUGUUCAGGUGACUGUCAUGUAAAGUCCAUUAUCUUAUUGCUGGUAUCAAUCAAAUCAAUUAAAUACAUACAAACAAUAUUACUUUAUUCAAAAAACAUCAUAAUUCAAAUUAUUGCAUUAUUUAAAAACAUAUAUAUACAUUCAAACACAUCGUUUCCCAAAGAAACUUAUUUCAAGAGACAUAUUUAAAGAGACAUGCUUAAAAGCAUCACUUCCCUAAGAGACUUAUUUAAAGAGACAUACUUAAAAAUACAUAUUUAAAAACGUGCUAACAUGGGGCCUGGCAUUCUUGGGAAUAGAGAUAGUGAAAAAAUCACGGAGAGGGGGAAAUCAUAUUGAGGAAACAGACGGUCAACAGACGGUAAUAACGGCGGCGAACCUACAAAGGGACUAGUCGACACCCUUAUGCUGCAUACUACCGAAUGCUCUGUAACUGAAUACUGAAUGUGGAGGAAGGUGACAUAUUGGUGCUGUGCAAUAAAUAUUUUUCGUCUGUGCAGUCCUGUAUUUGAAGAAGCUGUUUAAGUUAGAGCAGGCUUAUUCUGCUCUACUUUUGUGAGUGCAAUAUUUGGCAUUUAUUAUCCAUAUUUUAUUUUUUAUACGGUUUCACACUAUUGGUCUUUUUGUGUCUCUCUUCUUUCUAUGUAUAUCUUCAUUUGAGAGGACAUAUGUAUGUAUAAUAUUUUUAUAUUCCACAUUUUAAGUGCACUUUGUAUCACUUUGCACUUUAUUAUAUAGUUUGCACUUUAUAUUAUUAUUGGGUCUUAAAGACACAGCGCACCUUAUUAUUUUUAAGUAUAGUCCCCAUUAUGUGUAAGGGCAUAACGACCGCUGCCAAAGCACACUCUCCAUACCAAUCAGCGGGGAGUUUGCUUCUCAACCUCAUGUCGCCACAUAUCCAAUAUAUAUCGCCCAGAGACCGGGUUUGGUUUUUUACCUUGUCACAUCCCAGUGAAGAGUAUGUACCACAGUAUCCCAUGGUAAGGUUGCCCACUUCUACCCCCCUUUUUUCAUAGCAUCCAUAACAUGUGUAAUUUCCUGGAUAUAUUGUGACACCCUCUUUUAGCUUAGUUAUUCUUACUAGGAUGGGGUAUUCUUUUUUCCAGUUCUCACACUGGGUCUGGUUCGUGGUUGUGUUUGUGUAUAGGCUUAAGAAGCAGGAUUCCUCGCUGGAGGGCAAGAAGUGUGGUCUUGCCCCCCCACAUACGUAGCAGUUGGUUUUGUUGUGUUUAUUGGCAUUAUAUCUCAUCCAUUCCAACCACAGGUUGGUAUCUGAGAAACCUGUCUCAGCAGCUAUGGUGUCUUCGAAUGUGGGAUCAGCUAUGGCCAUCAUGGUUUUAUUUAUUGUUUUAUUUAUUUAUAAAAUAUUUUACCAGGAAAGAUACAUUGAGAUUUCUCUGGUUUUUUUUAAGUAUGUCCUGGGUCCACAAAUCACUGCAUUGUUACAUUAGGUACAACAAAAUACAAAAACAAUUUUAAUACACAAUAUAUACAAAAUUUAACAUAGAACAGGCAGGAAAUAUAUAAUCAACCAUAACACAUGCAUUCUGUUUUGAGGUAUGUAGAGAGGGAUCUCUUAAAUGACUUUAGGCUUAGGGAAGAUUUUAAAUUGCGCAGGAGGUCGUUCCACAAUUGCAGCACUAUGUAGGAGGAGGAUCGGGCCGCUUUCUUUUGUGUACUUAUCUUCCCUUAGCUGGUUGGGUAGUGGUGUUAGGUGCUACCCAUUCACUGGAAUUGUACAUGUCCUUAAGGUGGAAUUUACCCUUUGCUCCAUUUGAGCCCCCCGCCACCCAUAUGGACAUUAUAUAUGUACCAGCAUCGGAGGGACUAGGGUUCUCAAUGGUUAGUGUGUGUUUCAUUUGGCCUGAACCUCCUUCGUUCAGGCACGUCUUGUUUGUUCUUAACAAGGUCAUUCUACUUAUCAGGGAAUUUCCAUUUUUAUCUUUCUUAUCCAAGGCACUUUGUGGUCUGUAUCCCCAAUCUGGUCCUGUAUUCCAUCCCACCGCUCCCCAGUAACUGCACUCGUGUCCCCAGUAUUCGUCUGUAACACAAAUAUAAGUUGAUCUAGACCUAGGCGUGUCUCUAUAUAAGUUACAUUGCCAGGGGACGUGUGGGCAAGUUACUAUGUCACAAUAGUCAAAGGUGUAGGUAGCCACAUGUGUGUUGGAAGAAUUAUACCAGAAGGUUACCACAUUAUCAUCAUCUUUGGUUAUUGAAACAUGUAGCGCUAUUGUUAACCUUAUAGCAAAAAGGAUAUAUAUCGGGUGAACCAUGGUCUCUUAUUGUACUGUUUCUGCCGGAUCUUGAGUCUUUUUGCAGCGAGAGGCGUGUAUCCAACUGCUCUUUCCCGUCAGUUUUACAGAUGUCGGGGUAGUAAGCAGCACCUGGUAUGGCCCUUCGAAUCUGGGUUCUAGAGAGUGCUUUCUCACAAACUUCUUUACCAGGACCCAGUCUCCAGGGCAUAAGCUAUGAGACCCUGUGUUGGCUUCUGGAUCUGGAAUGGAGGAAAAUACUUGUGCAUGGAUUUUGGUCAAUUGUUUGGACAAUGCAAUUACAUAAUUCACCAACAUAUCUGCGCUCAGUUGUAGUUAUUUCACGUGUUCCCCUUAUUUCACGUGUUCCCCUUAUUUCACGUGUUCCC
Molecule: long non-coding RNA, 5638 nt
Filed under: Pelobates cultripes (western spadefoot toad)
Lineage: Eukaryota; Metazoa; Chordata; Amphibia; Anura; Pelobatidae
Source: RNAcentral